GACGAACGCUGGCGGCGUGCUUAACACAUGCAAGUCGAACGGUGAUGCUCCAGCUUGCUGGAGUGGAUCAGUGGCGAACGGGUGAGUAACACGUGAGCAACCUGCCCCAGACUCUGGAAUAAGCGCUGGAAACGGCGUCUAAUACUGGAUACGAAACUGGCCCGCAUGGGCAUGGUUUGGAAAGUUUUUCGGUUUGGGAUGGGCUCGCGGCCUAUCAGCUUGUUGGUGAGGUAAUGGCUCACCAAGGCGACGACGGGUAGCCGGCCUGAGAGGGCGACCGGCCACACUGGGACUGAGACACGGCCCAGACUCCUACGGGAGGCAGCAGUGGGGAAUAUUGCACAGUGGGCGAAAGCCUGAUGCAGCGACGCCGCGUGAGGGAUGACGGCCUUCGGGUUGUAAACCUCUUUCAGCAGGGAAGAAGCGAAAGUGACGGUACCUGCAGAAGAAGCACCGGCUAACUACGUG
This 468-nucleotide ribosomal RNA is filed under the name uncultured bacterium. Its description in RNAcentral is "partial 16S ribosomal RNA". It matches the Rfam family "Bacterial small subunit ribosomal RNA", at positions 28 to 507 of the family's 1533-position model. The record is from RNAcentral.